RNAcentral lists this ribosomal RNA (484 nucleotides) under uncultured bacterium. Its description in RNAcentral is "partial 16S ribosomal RNA". It matches the Rfam family "Bacterial small subunit ribosomal RNA", at positions 28 to 507 of the family's 1533-position model. The record is from RNAcentral.
AUUGAACGCUGGCGGCAUGCUUUACACAUGCAAGUCGAACGGCAGCGCGGGCUUCGGCCUGGCGGCGAGUGGCGAACGGGUGAGUAAUGCAUCGGAACGUGCCCAGUAGUGGGGGAUAGCCCGGCGAAAGCCGGAUUAAUACCGCAUACGACCUGAGGGUGAAAGCGGGGGACCGAAAGGCCUCGCGCUAUUGGAGCGGCCGAUGUCGGUUUAGCUAGUUGGUGGGGUAAAGGCUUACCAAGGCGACGAUCCGUAGCUGGUCUGAGAGGACGACCAGCCACACUGGGACUGAGACACGGCUCAGACUCCUACGGGAGGCAGCAGUGGGGAAUUUUGGACAAUGGGGGCAACCCUGAUCCAGCCAUGCCGCGUGCGGGAAGAAGGCCUUCGGGUUGUAAACCGCUUUUGUUCGGGAAGAAAUCCUCUGGGCUAAUACCCCGGGGGGAUGACGGUACCGGAAGAAUAAGCACCGGCUAACUACGUG